UCUUGGCACCACACACCUUAAGGGCACCUCCUCAGUCUUGGCCUUGCUGUCCCCUUGCCAGCCCCGUGCCCACCUCAGCUGAGUGCUGUCCUCAGAUAUCAAGGCUGUGGGGCAGGGGGAGGGCCCUGUGCAGGUGCCUGGGCCACCACCCCACCCAAGGCCCAAGGGAGCAGCAAGGGUGAGGGGCAGAGCCGAGUGCAACCACUGCCCCUUGGUAGGCACAUGGAGGCCCCUGGCAGGCCCCAGCUUCUGGCUCUGGGUUUUGGUUUCCCUGCCCAGCCCCAAGCAGGCUUUGAAAAGACUGUGGACGCCCACCCUUCCUUCCAUCCAGGCCCAGGCUUCUCAGGCCAGGCGGCAGGGCCAGCUGGGCCUCCCCUGCUCCAGGAUUCCGGCCCUUUGUUCCUGCCCAGGAUGCACCUGGUGGCCUCUGGCCCUCAUUGUUUGCUCUGGGGCCAGCUGACCUGCAACAGGAGCAAGACAUGCCAGGCCCAGGACAAGCAGCCGAGGUCCUGCAAAGGCAGAAGAGUCGUGGAGAAAGUGAUCUCCGAGUCACUGGCCACCAUUGCAGGUGCAGGGGCAGCCCCCUCCUCCCAUUCACCCCCACCCACUCAAGAUGUUCACCCCACCCGGUAUCUGCUUCUCGGUGUCAGGACAAACAGCAACUGGAUAGCAACCUGGCCUUGGGAAUGAUCAGUGUAGAUGGGGAAGCAGGCCCCAAGGGGAGUAGAACCCCAGGGUGGGCACACAGUCCUCUGCAGCCCCUCACACUGGGGCUGGCCACUCAUCAUCCUGAUGGCUCUACACCACCUGCCUGCUCUUCCUGUGCCCUCAGCCCUGUGACCCGCCAGGCCUCUGCAUCCCAGGUCAGAGAGGGUGCCUGAUAGGAGGGCUUAGGAGGGGGCCCCUGCUUUGCAGAGGUGGAAAUGGCCCAGCACAUCACAAGUGUUGGUGGCUGACCUGGGGAGGACCCAUGUGCCCCGACCCCUCCUCAACGCUCAUCCUGGCAGAAGCCUCUGGUGCAACGUGGCCGCGUGAUGGCCUGUCCUUCCCCUCGGGGCACAUAUGCUUCCUGCCUGGUGGGUGCCUGCCGGGGCCCUUAUCUGCCUUCCAGAGCUCAGAUCCCAAGACUGCAGACCCUCUGCCACCCCCUCCUCACACACAUGAGGGUGUGGAGACCAAGGCCAGCUUUCAGCACCUGCUCUGGGCCUGGCUAUGGCCAGUCUCUCCACACCCAUCCCACUGCCUCACAGCAUGCUGCUCCCUGACGCACUCCCAGCCUGAGGGGCCGGUCAGGCCAGGAAAGUGGAGUCCUCUCCUGUGCCCAGACCAGCCUCCUGUAGAAGCCCAGUAAAGUCCAGACCUAUUGGGGUUAGAGCUCUUGCCGUAAUCGAGCCCUGCAUCUCAGCAACCCAGGAGUCUGUCCUCAUCCACCCGACGUACAGGGCAGUGGCUGCCAGUAUGUUGAGAUCGGUUCUGUCUGCCCCAGUUCCUCAACUAGGGGACAACCUAAAAUAGAUGCCAGGCUAUCCCAAGACUGCAGGAAGUGCUGGCCCUGGGGGUCUUCGGCCACAGACCUGGCCAGCCUCAGGGCUGCUGGGGCAGGGCAUGGCACCUAGGCCCAGGACCGAAGCCCCUUAAGGGUAUUGGAGGGGUGUGGGGGUUCCUUCUGGGAUCUCUCCUCUCCCCCUGGAAUCUCACAGCUUUCCCCUUCCAAUUUAGCCUCCCCUCAGAGAUUCUGGAACUUUCUCUGAGUCGAGGUAGAAAUGAUGCCCUCCCCAGAGGUGCUGCCCUGGGGAGCAGGAAAGCCAGCUCUGCAUUGAGGGGAGCUGCAUUGUACAGGGCCUGCAGGCCCCCAGCAGGUCAGUAACUCAGCUACAGAAGGAUCGCCUCAGGGCCACCCUAGUUAGCAUAAGGCAGCUGCACCGCAGGCGGGAGGGACAGAGGAUCUAAGAGGGACGGAGGAUCUAGGAGUGACCGCACCACCUGGGGUAGCAGCUAAGGGGCCUGUGCUGCCUGGUUGAGGUUUAGGUGUGCUGGUAGGCAGGGGGGACCCCUGCUAAUGCGUGGAGCGGCCCUGCAGGCUCCACGGACGCUGGCUGGCCAUUACGACAGAACCCCCUCUACAUGGCAGAGGACACAGCGCUGGGGCUGCUGAGCAGGGAAGAGCUGAGUCCAAGCCCGGUCUUGCCUGUCCUUCCACACCCAGCCCCCAGCUCUACAGCUGUUGCCUGCUGCCCACCCCGGGGAGCCUGAGCACCUGCACGCCACAGCUCAACUCCUGGAUUACUUAGGGGCACGGCAGUUGCUGGGCCCCCAACCCCUGGGAGUCUCCGUCUGGGAAGGGCACUCACCACAGGCCCUUGUGUGCAGGAGACAGGACUGCCAUGGGCCCUUUUGCAUGUGACCUGGGCAAGGUAGUAAGUGUUCUCCAGGCCACGCUCAGUGCAUUCACAAUCACUGUAGUGGCUCACACCUGUAAUCCCAAGGCUCUGGGAGACGGAGGGAGGAGGACUGCUUGAAGACCAGUUUGGGGAACAUGGUAAAAGCCUAUCUGUACAAAAAAAAUAAAGAAGAAAAAAAUAGGGCAUGGUGGCUCACGCCUGUAAUCCCAGCACUCUGGGAGGCCCGCAGGCCCCCAGCAGGUCAGUAACUCAGCUACAGAAGGAUCCCCUCAGGGCCACCCUAGUCAGCAUAAGGCAGCUGCACCGCAGGCAGGAGGGACAGAGGAUCUAAGAGGGACAGAGGAUCUAGGAGUGACCGCACCACCUGGGGUAGCGGCUAAGGGGCCUGUGCGAGUGGAUAACCUGAGGUCAGGAGUUCGAGACCAGCCUGACCAAAAUGGAGAAACUCCAUCCUACCAUACAUACAGAAUUAGCCAGGUGUGGUGGCACAUGCCUGUAAUCCCAGCUACUCGGGAUGCUGAGGCAGGAGAAUAACUUGAAACUGGGAGGCAGAAACUGUGGUGAGCUUUCACCAUUUCACUCCAGCUUGGGCAACAAGAGCGAAACUCCAACUCCAAAAAAAAAAAAAAAAGAAAAAAAAAAUUGCUGGACAUGGUAGCGUACACCUGUAGUACCAGCUACUCAGGAGGCUGAGGCAGGAUGAUUGCUUGAGCCCCGAAGUCAAGGCUGUGGUGAACCAUAAUCAACAAAAACCAACAAAAAAACAAUGCACAGAAAAAAAGGUUUAUCUGGGUGCCUCUGGGUAGUAUAAUUGUUUUCUUCUUUAUUUUAUACAUCCUGACAAUUAUUUCCAAGAUGAUACAUGCCUAAAUACAAAACCCCUCCAGACACACUCCCCUGUACCUGGGGAAGGCAUGUGUCUGGGCUAUGCAGGGAGCUUCCAUUCUCCUGGGGGCAGCUCUGCCAGGAUCUCUGGGGUCUUGGCAUCUGUCACAGAACCCCAGGGGUUACAAGGCUCACCACCCCAAGGGCACCUCUGAGCCACAUGGUGAUAUACUGUGGCCCAGGGGAGGCCACUCUGGACUCUGGGUUAGGAUCUUCCCAUGAGAGGAAGUGCACCUAGGGGUGGGGCCGCAGGCUGGCUCAGAGGUGCCCUUUUCUAUACAGCCGGUUCCAGGAGGCAGUUGGGUUCUGGUUUAUUCAAUGUCAGAGGGACAUAAGGGAGGGGAGGGCAAGCUAGAAAAGCCCAAGCUGGUUGUUUCAGCCAUUUUAAUACAUUCAAGAAUACUUAUUAGAACAACAUUUAAAAGUAUUGUCAGUCAGCAGAAGCCUGGAAUUAAGAGAAAUAGAAAUGCGACUGGCCCUUUUGCAGUAAAGCUUGUGCUUGAAGAAGAGGCAAACUGGUUCCUGGAGGCUUCAUGCCACGUGCCGUAGGACUGAGAGCAUCUCCAAAUGUCACUUUAAACAUGUGUGACCAUCUAUAGUCAUUGCUAAAGCCCAGUGUUCCAAGGAUCCUACUAAGACAAGGCAAAAGGUACCCUCACCUGCAGAUCUGCAUGCAAACCUUCCCCAGGGAGGGGCCCGAUCAAAGCCUCCAGACAGGCAGGGCCAGGCCCUCCCCGUGCCCAUCCUCUUUCCCUGUAACUGACCCCAAGGCCUGAUGCUGGAUCCAGGAGACUCCCAGAUGGAAAACACAGAUAUAGCCCAUCCAUCCAUGGCCACCUUCCUCCAGAGGAUCCCGGGAACGCCCCGACACCCCCAUCCCAUGAGGCACCAGGGCUGUGCUCACAUGGCCAGCAAGGGAUCAAGUUGGUAACUGCAACUUGGGGAAAUCCCCUCAUUCUUAGCGCAAAAUAGCCCCCAAGGACACAAUAAAUAAACAAAACCAUGACCAGACACCUGGAUGCGGACAGGUGGACUGGCUCUGUGAAGGCAAAUGAGAGCACAAGCAGGAACUGAGGACACCUAAGUGGAGAGACAAUUAAAAACAGUAAUUCUCAUACGAACAUCAGUCACUCACGCUGACAGCAGAGCUGGCCAUCAGCAGAGCAACAGCAACUCAGACAGAGGGCACUGGCCCAGGUGUCUGCAGGGGUCUCUGGUAUGCUCUGUGGUGUGACUUUGCUUCCCUGACUUCUGCUUUCUUAGCUGAAAACAGGCAUUUCACCAAAGGGUGCAGCCAGUGGCAGCAGCCUGAGCUCCCAGGCUGACAUGUGGGUAGGGCUGAUGGGCAGCUCCUGGCCAUCUGGUGUCGGUGUGCUGGCAGCUGCACCCACACAAACUGCCCCUUUUUUCAUAACCACACUUUCCUAGGCUACACGAACAUGUUAAACUUCUAGUCUAGAACAUCAUACUUGAAUGCACACCCCUCAGCCCACGAUUGGGUUGGCCAGGCCUCCUGGAAGCCCCUCAUUGCAUCUAGUUUGUGGGGCAGUGACCCCGCUUCCACUGGUGGCUGGUCUUCCUUGUGGUGCUCCGCAGAUGACAAACACCGUUGUAUUCUUGAAGCUACAGGUCUUGUCUGGACAUUGUUCAAACCAACAGUUACCGCAUUAGGCACACAGGAGAUCCCUAUUCCCAGAAAGAGCUGUUGAGUCCCAGCCUGAAAGCAUCUCCAGUGACCACCUUUAAAUAAGGCUUUGGUUCAAACAGCAUGGACCCAGUACCUGGGGAAGGUGGGUGUGUGGGGCACGGACCCAGUACCUGGGGAACGCAUGUGUGGGGGGCACGGACCCAGUACCUGGGCAAGGCGGGUGUGGGGGGCAUGGACCCAGUACUGGGGAACGCAGGUGUGGGGGGCAACCCAGUACCUGGGGAAGGUCGGGCAAGGUGGUGGGAGACAACUCAACCACUGAGCCCUGAACGAGGUCCUGCCUUGGCCAUGGAGGGCAGCGGCUGCCCUCACAAGAAGAGUUAAGGCACUUUCUUCAACUCUGGCCUAGGAGGAUGAAGCGCCUCAGUGACUGUAAUGACAGUGCCUGGGCUCCCUAAAGUUGUUUACUUUUCUCCUAUUUCCUGCUUCAUUCCUUGCUCUCACCAUGCUAAUGUACAGAUCUUGUGUUUAGAUUUCUAUGCUUAUAUAUGUAACUUUGGUACUAAGAGAACAGAAGCAACUUUUUCCAAUAUUGCUCAUAACAAAACAAAAAUCUUAACUGGAAAAACUCCUUAUGAUGAGGAAAUCUAAAGCCAGAGCUGGGACUCCAAACCCUGUCCAGGAUGGAAGACAGGUGGCAGAGCCCAGGCAAGGGGACCCUGCAACUGCCUCCUGUCAGAAAGCCCAGCCGCGGGAGUGCAGCGGCAGCACCCCCAGCCCUGGAGUGCCUGCACUGCACCCUCUAGAUGCUCUGCUAGCUCAUGCUGAAAACGCCUGGAUUAUGUCGGCCAGGAUAGCCCUUGUCAGGUGUGGGGUAGCUGACCCACAUCUGUGGUGACAAGCUCCUCCAAACUAGGAUCGUGAAGGGUCCAGGGCGCUGGGAAACACCAGGCGCUGGCUGACUUUCCUUCUGGGUUCUCACCAGCACGGAACCCACCCUGGCCAACAGUCAGGAAGCGCCACGACCGAGCCUUCAUCAACCCCAGUGAGUUUCCCACAGAACUGAAUCCCCUUUCCCAAGCUGAGCUGUGUGCAUCAGCCCUUUUUGUUUGGUGCCCUGGAGCACUAGUGUAGUUCAGUAUUCUCUUCAGAAGGAAAACUUCAGCAGCCACUGGCCUUUGGGAUGUGUGCUGAGCCCACAUGACCUGAAUGGAUGGGUCAUGUGGGAGGGACCCCAGCGGGAGCUGUGGGCCACACGGCUGAGUUCUGCCAAUACAGAAGCCCCAAGCUAGAGGCUCACACUGCGGGGCAGCCCAGAGUUGCUGGAAGCUUUACAGGGGUGCGUAGCUAAUGGCGUUGGUGUCGCUCGGUCACUGUGGAGGGUCCC
Molecule: long non-coding RNA, 6322 nt
Organism: Callithrix jacchus (white-tufted-ear marmoset)
Lineage: Eukaryota; Metazoa; Chordata; Mammalia; Primates; Cebidae
Source: RefSeq, a predicted model, not a curated record